GCUAGUGCUUUAAAAAUACAAUCCAUUGACAACAUGUGGUUUAACAUAGAAAGUCAGGAUAACAAAAAAAAAACAAUGUUGAAUUUACUAUCUUACCCUCAGAUUGUUGCCCCGUCGAUAGGUCAGGCUGCAGUUGAAAAAAUAAGGAUUUCUGCCACCAGCUGAGCCUUACAGGCACGGGCCGCGGGCUGGUGACGAUGAUGGCGACGGCGGUAGCCAACAUGGCCAACCAAGUCAGCCAGAAGAGCAGCACCAGGUAGCAGCGCACCCUCCUCCAGCCGGGGCUCCCAGCGCUCACCUCUAGGUCCUCCUUGCUCAUAGGCCGCCACGGCUGGUCGGGUGCGAGGUCCGGGACCAGCAGAGAGGCCGUCUCCGAACCGGCUUCGCUGGCCGAGAGGCCCGGGGAGGCCACGCUUCCGUAGCCGUUGUCUCCGGCGUUCAAGGGCAUGGUGGCGGGCUGCAGGUCCUUCUGCCGUCUCCUGGUAUAACUUAGUGUGUGUGAUCGCGUUUUUGACGAAAUAGUGCUGUGACCGGGACCGGUCGAGGAGUAAAAAGUACCUGUAGCCAGGAUGUGGUCCAGCAGGUUCCUGGAGCAGUACUGGGCCACUGUGCUCCCAGCAUGGCCGUCAAACACAGCAUAAUAGGCCCACUCGCUCAGCUCCCCUCUCAUCUGAGGCAUGCACGUGUGCGCAUCUUCCAUCUGAGCCCUCCAGCCCUGCAUGUUUGCCACCGCGUAGUUCACCCCAGACUGGGACCCCCCCUCGGACACGUGCUUCUCCAAAAUGGGCCGCUCCAGCUGGCGGAGGAAGGAGGGCACCUCCACGUUGCUCGCCCUGCGCGCUGUCCUCAUCACGCCUCUGAGUCGCUGCUCAAGCUUCCUGCUCGACCUGGCCGCCGCUCGUCGUCUCCUCUUGCUGGUGGCCCUGCGCCGGCCGUUUGUCUUCCUCAGCAGGUCCAGGGCAACGAAUGAGCAGAUGCUCAGAUGACCAGGCUGCCCGGCUUCUCCCUGUUUACCGUAGCGUACUGAACUCUAACAGCGCUGCAGCCAUGGUGAUGAUGAUGAUGAGAGAGCAAGCAGCAGGAGGAAGAGGAUGGUGGAGGGGGAAUCUGGACCGAGUCAGGGCGGGGCGGCCAGAGGCAGGAAGCUGCUCACACAGAACACCGUGGGACCACAGAGG
Long non-coding RNA from Entelurus aequoreus (snake pipefish), 1178 nucleotides. RefSeq lists it as uncharacterized. The record is from RefSeq and is a predicted model, not a curated record. The transcript is spliced from 5 exons. NCBI's taxonomy places the organism in Eukaryota, Metazoa, Chordata, Actinopteri, Syngnathiformes, Syngnathidae.